GGGAGAAGGAAUGCGGGCAACCAAAGAGGAAGGAGCAGGCUGAGCCCUGCGGAGCCCCUAUGCCAGGAGUUGGGAUCCCCGGGGGGGGGGGGACAAGGAACAAGCACUCAGCAGCAGCUCCGCCCUCCAACCCCAAGAAACAAGGGACUGUUCCCUCCCUCACGUCCCACGUCGGGCAAUGUACGGCACCGGGGCUCAAGCAGUGCAGCACACACCCCUCGGGGACAGAUGCCUCGUCCUGGAAAUCUCCUGCUGAGAAGCCUUAUUCCUCACCUCGUGCUACGGGGAGGGCACCCCGAGACCCCUCUCUUUGCCACCACCCCAAAGGCUCCACCCUGGCAGGUUUGGCUCCAGGACCUCCCCCCCUUCCGGCGUCACGGCUGCGUUUGUUGCUCCAUCGGGACAGGGAGAGGACCUCGGGCAAACAGCUCUGGGAGUCCUGGAAAGCAGCAUCCACACCACCUUCCCCCCCCCAUCCACUGCGUUGAUGUUUGUCUGCGAGCCCCCGGGGCAGCACAGUCCGGACCGCCCUCCUGACCGCAGCCCCACAGCUACAACCCCCCCCCCCGGGGGCACCCGGCCCUGAGCAGCUGCGCACCCCCUCCCCCGGAUCCCUGCCCCGCUGCCCUGAUCUGUGCCGAUGUCAUCAUCAUCAUCAUUGCUCACCUCUGCUGAUGUCAUCAUCUCUUAUCUCUGCCGAUGUUAUCACCGCACUGGCGUGAGGCCCUGGAUGGCUUUCCCUGCUCUGAGAGAAGGGGGGGGGGGGGAGAUGUCUGCUCUCUGUCCGCCCUAGCAUCGUCCCUUCCGGCCCAGCAUUGCCCCCAGAGCACCGCUGGCAUCUGUUAGCGCUGGGGCUGCUUUGGGAACGUCCCACCCGAGUGCAGGAUGGGGUUUCUCCCCCCACACCGCCCAGCCUGGGGUACCAGCAGCCGGCGUCAGCCUGCAGGACCCUGUCGUGGGGACCCAGCAGAUGGCACUGCCGCCUCGCGCAGAGGAGAUGGGGACGCAGCUGCUGCCCGCGGUGACAUCUCUGGGGUCAAGGCCACCCGCUGGGGGCACGCCAGGCCCUGGCAGGCUGCGACAGGGGGAGUGCUUCCUCUUUCCCAAAGCGGGGUGUACCGUCCUGCACCGCUCCUCUUUGGGGACAGAGAGCAGCAGAGAGGGGGCUCAACCUCACUGCUGGGGAGGAGCAGCCCGGUGGUUUCAUGCAAGUUCCCUUUUUGGCUCAUUUGGGGCUAUUCUGCAUGGUUCCUUUUCAAACGUUGGGUGAAGGCUUCCCUGUGCAAGCACCCACCUGUGCACUCAGUAUCACCUGGAGAGCAUGGAGAGAUGGAGGUGUGCAUGGAGAGAGCUGGAAGCAGCAGUGGAAGCAGAGACCGCUGAGCACAAAGAGCAGAUGAGGGACCCAAUCUGUUUGAGGCGACGGCGAGGCCGGGACAAGAGUGAAUGAGCAUGAAGUGCUGCCAUUGUGCGUGGCACAAUGAGGACCAUAUGUCAGGGCCGGGGCUGGCAGCCGGGGACAGCAGAGGUCUGGGAGUCACGCAGGGGCUUGAGCUCCCCUAACCUCAUCCCCAGCUCCAUGCCGGUCGGGAGGGAUAGGGAUGGGGCCGUGUCCAGUGAGUGGAGCAGGCUGGGAGUGCUGGGGGCAUCUCCAGUCUCCAUCAGCUGCCAUCGCCCCCAGCUCCCCACCCCCCUUUCCCUGCCGCCUUCCCCUGCUCCCUCCCCAUCUUUAUUAUUUCCCCUUUGACGCAUCUCCGCUGAGCCGAGCGGCUGCCGAGGCCAAUUGAUUAUAUGAAGAAAUUUGGAGCAAGUCGGCGAACAGCUGCAACCUGCCCCCUGGGGGAUGCUCGGGAGCGGCGCAGACAAAGGAGCCGUGCAAACUUGCUUCCCCACAUCGCACGGGGUGGGCUGAGGGAGCAGGAGGGCACUGGGGGCUCAUGGGGACAGGACAGGGGACGUGGGGAAGGGACAGAGGGGCGCAGAGAAGUGAUGGUGGCUCUGAAGCUGAGGUUGUGCUGAUUGCUCAGGGAGAGUGAAGGUGGCUCGAUUGGGGAUGCUGGUGCCCGGAGCAGAUGUCCCCAUCUCUCUUCUGACACUGGGGGGAUGUUCAUCACAUUGCCACCGCCGCCUCCAGAACCCCACAGCUGCUGGGAGGAGGUGGUCACAAACAAGGUUAAAAGGAAAGGAGAAGGGAAGGAGGCACUCCGAGUUCAAGAUCUCUUUUGCUGGCAGUUUAAUUCAUUUCCCCCUCCCCGACUUCCUCGUGAACUCAUAAAUAAUAAAUCCUCACACAGUCCGAACAGCCAAGACGAAUGCAAGCUGGGGCACACAGGGGUGGGUUGGGCUGCUUUCCACCGUGGUUGUUUCUGUUUGUUUGUUUGCUUCCUAGGUUUCUUUUCCGAAAAGUGCACAACACAGCAAAUAAAUAAUAACAUUUAUCAAUAAAUUAA
Long non-coding RNA from Gallus gallus (chicken), 2450 nucleotides. RefSeq lists it as uncharacterized. The transcript is spliced from 2 exons. The record is from RefSeq and is a predicted model, not a curated record. NCBI's taxonomy places the organism in Eukaryota, Metazoa, Chordata, Aves, Galliformes, Phasianidae.